RNAcentral lists this long non-coding RNA (501 nucleotides) under Gallus gallus (chicken). The record is from RNAcentral. Lineage: Eukaryota; Metazoa; Chordata; Aves; Galliformes; Phasianidae.
CACAGCUGUGUGCAAUGCUCUGAGCACUGUCAGCUGCAGCCGACGAGGGGAAGAUGUGAUGGAGCGGAGUGUCGCAAGGGGCAGGGGCACAGCUGGGGCUGAUGACGGGGAGCAAAGGUGCUCAUCCCAGGGGCAGGCGGUGGGGCCGCUGCCCGGCGCUUCCCGCUUAGCCCUGGAUCCGCUCCAGCGCGCGUGAGCAGCACGAGCCCGUGGGGAGCGCCGGGAGGCGCCGCUCGGAGGGGCUUUCCAGCCACAUCCACAUCUGAACCUCACGGCGAGGCGAAGGCGUUGGGGAGAGGCCGAGAUGGAGAUCUGCUCACAUCCCAGAGCGCUCAGAGCGAUGACUCAAAGGAUUCCUGGCGUUACUGCACGGCGAGGUGCAGCGCGCUGCCACCGCCGCCGUCAGCACAACUGCGCUCCCUCGGACAGCUGCGAGUGCUCGCAGGUUUAUAGGGCUUAUUAGGCAAUUUCCUAUUAAAAACGUUUAUGUGAACACAUAAA